GAAAAUAGAAGUCCGGCCCAAAGUUGUAAUACUACGCCUCGCAAUGUGAGGGCGCGCUUGAAAAAAGAAGGCUCAUCUUCAAACUUGACUGUGUCAAAAAUGUUGGGAGAAUCUGCAGUGGAAGGAGCAGCCUUGAGACAGAAGCUGCUCCUUUACGGGGUUCCCGUUGCAUCCAGUAGAUCCAGACCUACCUUCUGCCCACAGUCCCAGCGUGAGCUCCGUGCCCAAGGGAUUCACCUUGGUGAGCAGGGAGGAAACGCGAGGGGUUGCGUGAGAUCAGCCUCCUCCUCCUCCUCGCUGGCGUCUCACCAGCGAGCCCGGGCUCUGCUUCCAAAAGGGGCCGGGCUGGCAGUCGCAGAUCCGGCCGAGAAGGUCGAGGCCGGGCCCUUAAUUGGCCUGAGGCGCCCUCUGCUGGACAUCGCUCGGACGCUCAGCCACGCAGCUCAUUUCCGCAAGCGGCCGGCCAGCUGGUGACUCUUCCCUAGGAGAGAACCGGGAAAACAACGCGCGUGGCCUGAGGCCUCUUUUGCAGCACUGCCAUGAGAAAAGAACAUGAACAAGCCCAAAACUACAGGGGGAUGCACAGGGAAAAGAAGCAAUGAGGCUGCAUUUCUCAGCAAUGCUUGCUAUUGUAGGUGAAUUCAGGAAAGGAGCUGCUGCCAAUCUGCAUCUUGAAGGUAUAUUUCAAUAUGGCAGCCGAUUUAGAACGAACCAGCCAAAAGAGGUGGCUCUCUUGAGGGAAGGUUCUUAAUUACCAAGAAAGUCCCCACAUUGCCACUUCAAGUUUUGUGUAAGGCUUUGCAUUUCAGACAAAAAUGAUGUGCUCUGUUUUGGAAAGGAAGCUCCAACCGUUGCAAGCCUUGGCAGGUUUUCUGAGUGAGAUAAGGAAUACCCAGGCCUCUGUUACUCAAUCAGCUCAGCAAAAACAAAUAUUUUAGCCAGACCUCUCAGUUCUUCGGACAUAAAACAUCUCCUUGCAUCCUGGAAGCUUUAUGAGUAGAUGAUAAAAUCUCAGUCAAAAUCCACCCACGCUGGUUCUUCUCCCCCCUCAAAUGCUUGAAGCUGCCUCUCCAUGGUAAUCCCCUGGCUUUCGCUGCUUCCCAGAACACCACCACAGCCACAUUGCCAACAGCGCAGUGGAAAACGGAGAAAGAUAAUGAGAAAGGUUGAUUUACCAUUUC
Molecule: long non-coding RNA, 1181 nt
Organism: Podarcis raffonei (Aeolian wall lizard)
Lineage: Eukaryota; Metazoa; Chordata; Lepidosauria; Squamata; Lacertidae
Exons: 6
Source: RefSeq, a predicted model, not a curated record